This 254-nucleotide ribosomal RNA is filed under the name uncultured bacterium. RNAcentral describes it as "partial 16S ribosomal RNA". It matches the Rfam family "Bacterial small subunit ribosomal RNA", at positions 524 to 776 of the family's 1533-position model. The record is from RNAcentral.
UACGGGGGGAGCAAGCGUUGUUCGGAUUUACUGGGCGUAAAGGGCGCGUAGGCGGUCAGCACAAGUCAGUUGUGAAAUCUCCGGGCUUAACUCGGAAAGGUCAACUGAUACUGUGCGACUAGAGUGUGGAAGGGGCAACUGGAAUUCUCGGUGUAGCGGUGAAAUGCGUAGAUAUCGAGAGGAACACCUGCGGCGAAGGCGGGUUGCUGGGCCGACACUGACGCUGAUGCGCGAAAGCCAGGGGAGCGAAUGGG